UUGGAGGGCAAGUCUGGUGCCAGCAGCCGCGGUAAUUCCAGCUCCAAUAGCGUAUAUUAAAGUUGUUGCAGUUAAAAAGCUCGUAGUUGAAUUUCGGGAUCAAUUUGCUGGUCGUGCCUCUGGUACGUACUGGUAUUAUUGGUUUCUCCCUUCUGACGAACCAUGAUGUCAUUAAUUUGAUGUCGUGGAGAAUCAGGACUGUUACUUUGAAAAAAUUAGAGUGUUUAAAGCAGGCAUUAGCUUGAAUACAUUAGCAUGGAAUAAUGAAAUAGGACGUUUGAUCCUAUUUUGUUGGUUUCUAGGAUUGACGUAAUGAUUAAUAGGGAUAGUUGGGGGCGUUAGUAUUCAAUUGUCAGAGGUGAAAUUCUUGGAUUUAUUGAAGACUAACUACUGCGAAAGCAUUUGCCAAGGAUGUUUUCAUUAAUCAAGAACGAAAGUUAGGGGAUCGAAGACGAUCAGAUACCGUCGUAGUCUUAACCAUAAACUAUGCCGACUAGGGAUCGGAUGAUGUUAAUUUUUUAAUGACUCAUUCGGCGCCUUACGGGAAAC
RNAcentral lists this ribosomal RNA (549 nucleotides) under uncultured Glomeromycotina. RNAcentral's name for it is "SSU rRNA". It matches the Rfam family "Eukaryotic small subunit ribosomal RNA", at positions 548 to 1098 of the family's 1831-position model. The record is from RNAcentral. Lineage: Eukaryota; Fungi; Glomeromycota.